GAUGAACGCUGGCGGCGUGCUUAACACAUGCAAGUCGAACGAAGCAUUUGCGACAGAUUUUUUCGGAAUGAAGUUGCUUAUGACUGAGUGGCGGACGGGUGAGUAACGCGUGGGUAACCUGCCUUGUACUGGGGGAUAGCAGCUGGAAACGGCUGGUAAUACCGCAUAAGCGCACAAUGUUGCAUGACAUGGUGUGAAAAACUCCGGUGGUAUAAGAUGGACCCGCGUCUGAUUAGCUAGUUGGUGAGAUAACAGCCCACCAAGGCGACGAUCAGUAGCCGACCUGAGAGGGUGACCGGCCACAUUGGGACUGAGACACGGCCCAGACUCCUACAGGAGGCAGCAGUGGGGAAUAUUGCACAAUGGAGGAAACUCUGAUGCAGCGACGCCGCGUGAGUGAAGAAGUAAUUCGUUAUGUAAAGCUCUAUCAGCAGGGAAGAUAGUGACGGUACCUGACUAAGAAGCUCCGGCUAAAUACGUG
Molecule: ribosomal RNA, 481 nt
Filed under: uncultured bacterium
Lineage: Bacteria
Description: partial 16S ribosomal RNA
Rfam family: Bacterial small subunit ribosomal RNA
Source: RNAcentral